GAUGAACGCUGGCGGCGUGCCUAAUACAUGCAAGUCGAGCGAACGGACGAGAAGCUUGCUUCUCUGAUGUUAGCGGCGGACGGGUGAGUAACACGUGGAUAACCUACCUAUAAGACUGGGAUAACUUCGGGAAACCGGAGCUAAUACCGGAUAAUAUUUUGAACCGCAUGGUUCAAAAGUGAAAGACGGUCUUGCUGUCACUUAUAGAUGGAUCCGCGCUGCAUUAGCUAGUUGGUAAGGUAACGGCUUACCAAGGCAACGAUGCAUAGCCGACCUGAGAGGGUGAUCGGCCACUCUGGAACUGAGACGCGGUCCAGACUCCUACGGGAGGCAGCAGUAGGGAAUCUUCCGCAAUGGGCGGAAGCCUGACGGAGCAACGCCGCGUGAGUGGUGAAGGUCUUCGGAUCGUAAAACUCUGUUAUUAGGGAAGAACAUUUGUGUAAGUAACUGUGCACAUCUUGACGGUACCUAGUCAGAAAGCCACGGCUAACUACGUG
RNAcentral lists this ribosomal RNA (497 nucleotides) under uncultured bacterium. Its description in RNAcentral is "partial 16S ribosomal RNA". It matches the Rfam family "Bacterial small subunit ribosomal RNA", at positions 28 to 507 of the family's 1533-position model. The record is from RNAcentral.